RNAcentral lists this ribosomal RNA (468 nucleotides) under uncultured bacterium. RNAcentral describes it as "partial 16S ribosomal RNA". It matches the Rfam family "Bacterial small subunit ribosomal RNA", at positions 28 to 507 of the family's 1533-position model. The record is from RNAcentral.
GACGAACGCUGGCGGCGUGCUUAACACAUGCAAGUCGAACGGAAAGGCCCUGCUUUUGUGGGGUGCUCGAGUGGCGAACGGGUGAGUAACACGUGAGUAACCUGCCCUUGACUUUGGGAUAACUUCAGGAAACUGGGGCUAAUACCGGAUAGGAGCUCCUGCUGCAUGGUGGGGGUUGGAAAGUUUCGGCGGUUGGGGAUGGACUCGCGGCUUAUUAGCUUGUUGGUGGGGUAGUGGCUUACCAAGGCUUUGACGGGUAGCCGGCCUGAGAGGGUGACCGGCCACAUUGGGACUGAGAUACGGCCCAGACUCCUACGGGAGGCAGCAGAGGGGAAUAUUGCACAAUGGGCGGAAGCCUGAUGCAGCAACGCCGCGUGCGGGAUGACGGCCUUCGGGUUGUAAACCGCUUUCGCCUGUGACGAAGCGUGAGUGACGGUAAUGGGUAAAGAAGCACCGGCUAACUACGUG